This 1506-nucleotide ribosomal RNA is filed under the name biofilm metagenome. Its description in RNAcentral is "bacterial LSU rRNA". It matches the Rfam family "Bacterial large subunit ribosomal RNA", at positions 476 to 1974 of the family's 2925-position model. The record is from RNAcentral.
CUGACUGACCGAUAGUGAACCAGUACCGUGAGGGAAAGGCGAAAAGAACCCCUGUGAGGGGAGUGAAAUAGAACCUGAAACCGUGUACGUACAAGCAGUGGGAGCACCUUUGUGGUGUGACUGCGUACCUUUUGUAUAAUGGGUCAGCGACUUACAUUCUGUAGCAAGGUUAACCGAAUAGGGGAGCCGUAGGGAAACCGAGUCUUAACUGGGCGAUUAGUUGCAGGGUGUAGACCCGAAACCGAGUGAUCUAGCCAUGGGCAGGUUGAAGGUGCCGUAACAGGUACUGGAGGACCGAACCCACUAAUGUUGCAAAAUUAGGGGAUGACCUGUGGCUAGGGGUGAAAGGCCAAUCAAACUCGGAGAUAUCUGGUUCUCCCCGAAAGCUAUUUAGGUAGCGCCUCGGACGAAUACUACUGGGGGUAGAGCACUGUUUCGACUAGGGGGUCAUCCCGACUUACCAACUCGAUGCAAACUCCGAAUACCAGUAAGUACUAUCCGGGAGACACACGGCGGGUGCUAACGUCCGUCGUGAAGAGGGAAACAACCCAGACCGCCAGCUAAGGUCCCAAAGUACGAGUUAAGUGGGAAACGAUGUGGGAAGGCUUAGACAGCUAGGAUGUUGGCUUAGAAGCAGCCAUCAUUUAAAGAAAGCGUAAUAGCUCACUAGUCGAGUCGGCCUGCGCGGAAGAUGUAACGGGGCUAAACUCGUCACCGAAGCUGCGGAUUUGUGCUUUGCACAAGUGGUAGGGGAGCGUUCUGUAAGCCUGAGAAGGUGUGUGGUAACGCAUGCUGGAGGUAUCAGAAGUGCGAAUGCUGACGUGAGUAACGUUAAAGGGAGUGAAAGACUCCCUCGCCGGAAGACCAAGGGUUCCUGUCCAACGUUAAUCGGGGCAGGGUGAGUCGGCCCCUAAGGCGAGGCUGAAAGGCGUAGUCGAUGGGAAGCGGGUUAAUAUUCCUGCACUUUUUGUAACUGCGAUGGGGGGACGGAGAAGGCUAAGUAGGCCAGCGGUUGGUAGAGCUGGUGAAAGGUGGUAGGCAGAGAUGAUAGGUAAAUCCGUUGUCUUAUAUGUCGAGAGCCGAGACGAAGUGACCACGGUCAUGAAGUUACUGAUGCCACGCUUCCAGGAAAAGCCUCUAAGCUUCAGGUUACAAAGAACCGUACCCGAAACCAACACUGGUGGUCAGGUAGAGAAUACCAAGGCGCUUGAGAGAACUCGGGUGAAGGAACUAGGCAAAAUAGUACCGUAACUUCGGGAGAAGGUACGCUGUUGUUGGUGAAGGACCUGCGUCCGGAGCUGAUGGCAGCCGCAGUGACCAGGUGGCUGGGACUGUUUAACAAAAACACAGCACUCUGCAAACACGAAAGUGGACGUAUAGGGUGUGACACCUGCCCGGUGCCGGAAGGUUAAUUGAUGGGGUUAGCGCAAGCGAAGCUCUUGAUCGAAGCCCCGGUAAACGGCGGCCGUAACUAUAACGGUCCUAAGGUAGCGAAAUUCCUUGUCG